AUGAUGCCUGCGGACCUGGAGGGAGUCCCGGGCUCACGCACCAGAUGCUGGAGCCCCUGGGGGUCUCGAAGGGGAAUCGGGGACGGGGUUGAUGCCUGCCUUUCUGCCACGGCUCACUGGUUGCACAGGACAAGUUGGGUCAAAGCCGGUGGCCCAGCCCCUGGUCACCGGUGUGGGGGGCCCGGUGCGCUGGAGACGAGAAUGGCCACUGGGCCUCCGGUCUGGGUGGUAAGGCUGUGGGGUUCUUCUGCUGCUGGCCUGGCACGGGUUCCCCGACCAGGCCGCAGGGGGUGCGCCCAAGUCGCUGCAUCUGGGGACCCUGAGCCUUCCGGACGCCCAGCUGGGUGGCAACCUCCGCUUUGGCCAGGAAUUCUGCAUCAGCCUUUGGGGGGCUCCCAGAGUCUCCUCUGUUUACUGACUGUCCUGGGCAAGUGCCCACCAGGCAUCAGUCAUAAAUGGAGCCCAGGCGGCAGGACACAUGUGGUGUGUGUGUGGUGUGUGUGUGUGUGUGUGUGUGUGUGUGUGUGUGAGAGAGAGAGAGAGAGAGAGACAGAGACAGAGCGCGCGAGAGAGACAGGCGGGGGCAAGGUCCCUCCCCAAGUCCCCACGACCCAGGAUGCAAGGUGGGGGACACCUGUUUACGGUGGGGGGAGGGGGCUCGCUGGGAAGCCGCAGGACCCGGGAGGGACCCCUGCGCCAGGAGGUGCACCUGCUGGGCUCCUCGUCUGUUUACGCUACAACAGGGAGCCCCCUUCCCCUUAUGUAAGCCCUGCGUCUGUCUGGGUCUGCAGUCCGCCUGCUCCUGGGCCCCGAGACCCUCGCACCCCCUCCUGCCCGGCGUCACCAGGCACUUGGACGCAACAGCGCAGCCCCCUCCCCAGGAAAGAGAAGAAAAGAGGGGUGCGCCGGCCCACCCACAACCCCCCUCCCCAACCCGGCCCUUCCUCUGUAAUGACAGCGCAGCGCGCCAGCCGCGGCGCGCGGGGAGGGGGCUCCGGAAAGACGAAGGCGGGGGACCCCCGCCCACGAGCAGGGGCGGCGCGGGGAGAGGGACGCGGGAGCCAGCAAAGCGCGCCAUGGCGCCGGGGCCCCCCAGGCCAGCGCGGGGGGGCGCAGGGGUCGCGCGCAGGAGCCCCGCGCCGCAGCCUCGCCUCCCUCCUCCCCCUCCCGGUCCCCGCCCCGCGCUCGCCCCCGCGCCCCCCGCCGCCCGCGUUCGGCCGCGCGCUGCGCCCCGCGGGGCCGGGCUUACACCUGUCACCGCGCGCCCGCCGCCUCGCCGCCGCCGCCGCCCAAGUUCGCGGGGACUUGGCGGGCGCGCCGCCUGCCGCCUCCCCGCCCGCGCCCGCGUCCUCGCCCAUGGCCGCCGCCCCCGCCCGCCCGCCGCCCGCGCCCCCCGCGCCGCCCGCCCAGCCCCGCGGCCGCCGGGCCCGGUGA
RNAcentral lists this long non-coding RNA (1434 nucleotides) under Felis catus (domestic cat). RNAcentral's name for it is "lncRNA (ENSFCAG00000049433.1)". Lineage: Eukaryota; Metazoa; Chordata; Mammalia; Carnivora; Felidae. The record is from RNAcentral.